Molecule: ribosomal RNA, 414 nt
Filed under: uncultured Actinomycetes bacterium
Lineage: Bacteria; Bacillati; Actinomycetota; Actinomycetes
Description: bacterial SSU rRNA
Rfam family: Bacterial small subunit ribosomal RNA
Source: RNAcentral
GAGUUUGAUCGUGGCUCAGGACGAACGCUGGCGGCGUGCUUAACACAUGCAAGUCGAACGGAAAGCGCUCUUCGGAGUGACUCGAGUGGCGAACGGGUGAGUAACACGUGGGUGAUCUGCCCUGCACUUUGGGAUAAGCCUGGGAAACUGGGUCUAAUACCGGAUAGGACUACGAAUCGCAUGGUUUGUGGUGGAAAGCUUUUGCGGUGUGGGAUGGGCCCGCGGCCUAUCAGCUUGUUGGUGGGGUGAUGGCCUACCAAGGCGACGACGGGUAGCUGGUCUGAGAGGAUGAUCAGCCACACUGGGACUGAGAUACGGCCCAGACUCCUACGGGAGGCAGCAGUGGGGAAUAUUGCACAAUGGGCGCAAGCCUGAUGCAGCGACGCCGCGUGAGGGAUGACGGCCUUCGGUUGU